RNAcentral lists this ribosomal RNA (462 nucleotides) under Streptococcus mitis. RNAcentral's name for it is "bacterial SSU rRNA". It matches the Rfam family "Bacterial small subunit ribosomal RNA", at positions 28 to 474 of the family's 1533-position model. Lineage: Bacteria; Bacillati; Bacillota; Bacilli; Lactobacillales; Streptococcaceae. The record is from RNAcentral.
GACGAACGCUGGCGGCGUGCCUAAUACAUGCAAGUAGAACGCUGAAGGAGGAGCUUGCUUCUCUGGAUGAGUUGCGAACGGGUGAGUAACGCGUAGGUAACCUGCCUGGUAGCGGGGGAUAACUAUUGGAAAUGAUAGCUAAUACCGCAUAAGAGUAGAUGUUGCAUGACAUUUGCUUAAAAGGUGCAAUUGCAUCACUACCAGAUGGACCUGCGUUGUAUUAGCUAGUUGGUGGGGUAACGGCUCACCAAGGCGACGAUACAUAGCCGACCUGAGAGGGUGAUCGGCCACACUGGGACUGAGACACGGCCCAGACUCCUACGGGAGGCAGCAGUAGGGAAUCUUCGGCAAUGGACGGAAGUCUGACCGAGCAACGCCGCGUGAGUGAAGAAGGUUUUCGGAUCGUAAAGCUCUGUUGUAAGAGAAGAACGAGUGUGAGAGUGGAAAGUUCACACUGUGACG